CAGCUUGGGGCCGAGAGACUCAACGGGUACGCCCGGGGUAAGAGUGAAAUCCUGUAAUCCUGGACGGACCACCAAUGGGGAAACCACUUUGAGAGACCGGACCCGACAGUGAGGGACGAAAGCCAGGGUCUCGAACCGGAUUAGAUACCCGGGUAGUCCUGGCUGUAAACAAUGCUCGCUAGGUAUGUCACGCGCCAUGAGCACGUGAUGUGCCGUAGUGAAGACGAUAAGCGAGCCGCCUGGGAAGUACGUCUGCAAGGAUGAAAAUUAAAGGAAUUGGCGGGGGAGCACCACAACCGGAGGAGCCUGCGGUUUAAUUGGACUCAACGCCGGAAAUCUCACCGGUCCCGACAGUAGUAAUGACAGUCAGGUUGACGACUUUACUCGACGCUAUUGAGAGGAGGUGCAUGGCCGCCGUCAGCUCGUACCGUGAGGGGUCCUGUUAAGUCAGGCAACGAGCGAGACCCACACUUCUAGUUGCCAGCAACACCCCUGCGGUGGUUGGGUACACUAGGAGGACUGCCAUUGCUAAAAUGGAGGAAGGAAUGGGCAACGGUAGGUCAGUAUGCCCCGAAUGGACCGGGCAACACGCGGGCUACAAUGGCUAUGACAGUGGGAUGCAACGCCGAGAGGCGAAGCUAAUCUCCAAACGUAGUCGUAGUUCGGAUUGCGGGCUGAAACCCGCCCGCAUGAAGCUGGAUUCGGUAGUAAUCGCGUGUCAGAAGCGCGCGGUGAAUACGUCCCUGCUCCUUGCACACACCGCCCGUCAAAGCACCCGAGUGGGGUCCGGAUGAGGCCGUCAUGCGACGGUCGAAUCUGG
RNAcentral lists this ribosomal RNA (820 nucleotides) under Haloarcula marismortui. RNAcentral describes it as "partial 16S ribosomal RNA". It matches the Rfam family "Archaeal small subunit ribosomal RNA", at positions 589 to 1412 of the family's 1478-position model. The record is from RNAcentral. Lineage: Archaea; Methanobacteriati; Methanobacteriota; Halobacteria; Halobacteriales; Haloarculaceae.